UUGUAGCUCCGAUAGAGCCGGUAUCCUCGAAGUCCUUUUGGGACGGAGAGAUAAAGGUGAUAGCGGGAACAUUU
Molecule: unclassified non-coding RNA, 74 nt
Filed under: Flavobacterium glycines
Lineage: Bacteria; Pseudomonadati; Bacteroidota; Flavobacteriia; Flavobacteriales; Flavobacteriaceae
Description: Flavo-1 RNA
Rfam family: Flavo-1 RNA
Source: RNAcentral